GAUUUAGCUCAGCCUGGUAGAGCGCUUGCUUUGGGAGCAAGAUGUCGUAGGUUCGAAUCCUAUAGUC
RNAcentral lists this transfer RNA (67 nucleotides) under bovine gut metagenome. It matches the Rfam family "tRNA". Rfam says of the family: Transfer RNA (tRNA) molecules are approximately 80 nucleotides in length. Their secondary structure includes four short double-helical elements and three loops (D, anti-codon, and T loops). The record is from RNAcentral.